Molecule: unclassified non-coding RNA, 1535 nt
Filed under: Hevea brasiliensis (rubber tree)
Lineage: Eukaryota; Viridiplantae; Streptophyta; Magnoliopsida; Malpighiales; Euphorbiaceae
Source: RNAcentral
CCUGUCUAUUUUAGAUGUUUCUUCCAAUCAUUUAAAGGGCCAUUUGCCAAAUCCGUUGAAUGCAAGUCCAAAUGCAAACCUCUUCCUACUAGAGCUUUCCAAUAACCAAUUAUCUGGUCCCAUACCAAGCAAUAUUGAUCAAAUCAUGCCUCUAUACUUUCUCUCUCUUUCUGGUAACCAGCUGAAUGGUCAAAUCCCAGCCUUAAUUGGAGAGAUGAAUAAUCUUGAAGUAUUGGAUCUUUCAAGAAAUAAUUUGACAGGAAGCAUUCGUUCAAGCAUUGGGAAUUGUCUUACCCUCUAUGUUCUAGACCUUCAAAACAACAAUUUGUUAGGUGGCAUUCCAAGAUCUAUGGGUCAGUUACCUGAGCUUCGAACACUUCACCUGGUCAACAACAGAUUAUCAUUGUUGGAAACUUUGGACCUCUCGAACAAUAGGCUGACAGGUAAUAUACCACCUUGGAUUGGAAAAGCUUUCUCAUCUCUCAGAAUGCUUAGCUUGAGGUCAAAUAACUUCUCCGGAUAACUUCGUUUAGCACUUUCAAAUUUGAGUUCUUUGAAAAUUUUGGACCUGGCAGAAAACCAAUUGAAUGGCUCCUUUUCUUUUGCCUUUCAAAAUCUUGAAGCCAUGACACAUCUGCAAAAUGUUAGCCAGCAAGUUUUGUUUUACACAGCGAACAAUGGCUUUUACAAAGAAAACAUAUAUGUCAUAAAAAAUGGCCUUGAAUUGCAGUACACCAAAACUCUUUCCCUUUUGACCAGCAUAGAACUUUCUGGAAAUAAUUUAUAUGGAGAGUUUCCCAAAGAAAUAACAAAAUUAGUUGGUUUGGAAGUUUUGAACUUGUCAAGAAACCAUAUCAGUGGCCAGAUUCCUGAAAACAUUUCAGAAUUGCGUCAGUUGUUAUCUCUUGAUCUCUCAGGCAAUAGGCUUUCAGGCCUAAUUCCUCAGAGCAUGUCUUCAAUGACAUUUUUGGGAAGUUUGAAUCAGUCAAAUAAUAACUUCUCAGGCAGAAUUCCAUAUAACGGUCAGAUGACAACUUUUGAUGCAUCUUCGUUUGGUGGUAAUUCAGGUCUCUGCGGGGAUCCCCCCACUUUGAAAUGUCUAGAUGCUGAUUCAAACAAUUGGGGAAGCCGUGAUGAUUCAGAUGGUGGAAGGAAAGAUGAGGCAGAUGAUGGUAAUGGCUUCAUUGAUAAGUGGUUUUACUUGAGCGUUGGGUUGGGAUUUGCAGUAGGUUUGCUGCUUCCUUAUUUGAUAUUUGCAAUCAAAAGAUCCUGGGGUGGAGCAUACUUUGCUUUUGUGGAUGGAACUGCUUAUAGAUUGUCUAGUAGAAAAAUGAGAGCAGCAACAAGAAGAAGAAUUUGGGGCACAUGCUGAGGUUUCUUUAUCUACUUUUCUUUUUUUUUGUGAAUUUUCAUUUUCUUGUACAAUCUGCAGACAAAUCAUUGAUGUAAUUUUGCUAGUCUUCCAUGUAGAAGUUUUUCUAAUUUUCAGAAUAAACUUUCUGUUAUGAUAGUUGCAAGCUCUCUUUUAAAUCUUC